UCUGGGUAUCUCAUGAAUUUCAAUUGUUUAAUGGGUAAUUUGCGUCUGAAUUAGUAUUUCUUUGAUGGUAAAUCACCUUGGAGACAUGAUACCCGCU
This is a small nucleolar RNA of Gossypium raimondii (Peruvian cotton), 97 nucleotides long. The record is from Rfam. Lineage: Eukaryota; Viridiplantae; Streptophyta; Magnoliopsida; Malvales; Malvaceae.